CUACGGGGGGCUGCAGUGAGGAAUAUUGCACAAUGGGGGGAACCCUGAUGCAGCAACGCCGCGUGGAGGAUGACGCAUUUCGGUGUGUAAACUCCUUUUAUAUGUCAAGAAAAUGACGGUAGCAUAUGAAUAAGCACCGGCUAACUCCGUGCCAGCAGCCGCGGUAAUACGGAGGGUGCAAGCGUUACUCGGAAUCACUGGGCGUAAAGGACGCGUAGGCGGGUUGUGAAAGUCAGGUGUGAAAUCCUACAGCUUAACUGUAGAACUGCACUUGAAACUUCUAAUCUAGAGUAUGGGAGGGGGAGAUGGAAUUAGUGGUGUAGGGGUAAAAUCCGUAGAUAUCACUAGGAAUACCUAAAGCGAAGGCGAUCUCCUGGAACAUUACUGACGCUAAGGCGUGAAAGCGUGGGGAGCAAACAGGAUUAGAUACCCCGGUAGUC
RNAcentral lists this ribosomal RNA (440 nucleotides) under uncultured bacterium. RNAcentral describes it as "partial 16S ribosomal RNA". It matches the Rfam family "Bacterial small subunit ribosomal RNA", at positions 339 to 795 of the family's 1533-position model. The record is from RNAcentral.